AUGCCGUGGUCCCACAGGGGAAGGGAAAGGUGGGCGCUACGGCCGGGCUGCGCAGAGCCUCAGCAGAGCCCUGUCCCUGCAGGGCGGCCCGAGGACGGGCGAGGGGCGAGCCCAGCAGCCCCUUACAGCGUGCGGUCCUCCGGCUCCCGCUCGGCCGAGUGCCCCUCCUCGAAGGCCAGGUCGGUGAACUCCAGGGAAUGGUACUCGCCCAGGUUGACGGGACAGGAGCGCAGCGCUCCGCUCCGCACCCGCCACAGCCUCACGUUGUCCCGGCCGCACGACACCAUCCUGUCGCACAAAACCACCCUGUCACACAAAACGGUGCCGAGGAACGGCAGGGGACUCAUGCAAAAGGUCAGUGCUGACGGCGGGGGCCAAAAGCAGGAACGGCGGCAGCAGCAGCGCCCUGCUCCUGCACCUCGAGCCGCCCCCAGCCAUGGCAGACCCGGGGCUGCCCACUUGGUUUCUUUGCUCCCUACCUGGUGUCGUCAAAAAAAGCAAUCUUCAAGGUCUGGAUGUCCACGUCUGUGUGCGCUUUGGCCAGCACGACCACGUCUCCGCCACAGGUCACCUGGGCGGUGUUCCACACCACCACCACCUGAAGCAAGAGGACAGCACGGCAUUGCUGCUGAAACACGGAAACCUUGGCAGCAAGAGGGCUUCUCAUCCCAAACAGCUGCACGUACUGUGCUCUGGGCACAAAGUACCGGUAAUGGAAUUGAAGGAGUGGAAAAAAAACACAAACUUCACAUACGGAGGGUCAGGACUGUUCAAACUGCUCGGCAAAGCUUCACUCCAGUCUAUCUGUCCGGCACCCAGUUACAGGCUCACAACCCCAGGGCUGCCUGGCGGUGCGGCUCACGUUUGGGGAAGAAAAUACGGAGUGGGAGCUCUGCUUUUGGAGCUGUAAGAGCUACGCUGGGGCAGAGAUGUUCUGCGAGAGCUGGAGGCAGCGUGUGCCUGCCUGCACUCCUUUCUCACAGCACACCACUCAGCUCCAGCUUUGCUCGCGAUGCCCAUCACACGGGGCAGCAGAGCCAAGCCACGCGGCAAAGCACUGGCAAUGCAGCCUGUGAUCUUGGGGUACACUCAGAGCUUCCCCGCACCUCGUGGGGUGCUCUCUGCAGGUCUUCCACCACAAGGACUGACAGGCUUGGGGAGGUCACCCCCGAAGGAGCAGGGACGAUCAGCGAGGACAGGCCGGUGAUUUAG
This 1212-nucleotide long non-coding RNA is filed under the name Anser cygnoides (Swan goose). RNAcentral describes it as "lncRNA (ENSACDG00005004926.1)". The record is from RNAcentral. Lineage: Eukaryota; Metazoa; Chordata; Aves; Anseriformes; Anatidae.